RNAcentral lists this ribosomal RNA (427 nucleotides) under uncultured archaeon. RNAcentral describes it as "bacterial SSU rRNA". It matches the Rfam family "Archaeal small subunit ribosomal RNA", at positions 474 to 903 of the family's 1478-position model. The record is from RNAcentral.
UACCAGCUCUCCGAGUGGUAGGGAUGAUUAUUGGGCUUAAAGCGUCCGUAGCCGGCUUAGCAAGUUUCCUGUUAACCCAGCGACUCAAUCGUUGGAUCGCGGGAAAUACUACUAGGCUAGGAGGCGGGAGAGGUCAACGGUACUUCUGGGGUAGGGGUGAAAUCCUAUAAUCCCGGGAGGACCACCAGUGGCGAAGGCUGUUGACUAGAACGCGCUCGACAGUGAGGGACGAAAGCUGGGGUAGCAAACCGGAUUAGAUACCCGGGUAGUCCCAGCUGUAAACGAUGCGAGCUAGGUGUUGGGAUGGCUACGGGCCAUUUCAGUGCCGCAGGGAAGCCAUUAAGCUCGCCGCCUGGGGAGUACGGCCGCAAGGCUGAAACUUAAGGAAUUGGCGGGGGAGCACCACAAGGCGUGAAGCUUGCGGUUC